Nelumbo nucifera (sacred lotus) is the source of this 4531-nucleotide non-coding RNA. The record is from RefSeq and is a predicted model, not a curated record. NCBI's taxonomy places the organism in Eukaryota, Viridiplantae, Streptophyta, Magnoliopsida, Proteales, Nelumbonaceae.
GGAAACAGAGCCUACCAUCGUCUUCCUCGAGCUCCUCCUCUCACUCGAACAAGUCUGUAAAAGUUUCCAACUCGCUACAGUGGGUCCCUUCAAAGAAGUUGGCUCAGUCUACACAGGAUCGCCGUAAUCCAAGAUGUGUGAAGCGAAGUGAAAUAGACAUCCUAGACUCAGAAAUGUUGACAGACGAUGAAGAUAGAUUUGGAAUCUGGAGAAACCCUAAGUUUGGGAAGCCUUGACCUCCAAAAAUCAAAAGAUAUUUUUGAGGAGGAUAGCUUAAACACUGAGCUAUUAUUUCUAGAGGAGGAAAUGGUACCACAAGACUGCAACAAUGUGUCAAACAAAAACCAGAUGGGUUUAGUAGCGAUUGCAGAGGUUCGGCAGCCUGAUGUAAUCUUAGUUAUGUGCUGCAGGGGUACUUUUGUCAUUUUCCCUUUUUUUAUUUAGUCGCCCUAACAUAUAAAUACAAAUCGUGGCGCCGCCAGCUUAUGUUUUUGGUCGAAAUCCUCUCGCAUCUUCCUUCUCUCCUCUCUUCUUCUUCUCCCUUCUUCUCUUCUCUUCCUCUCAUCUCUUGAUCGAGAUCUUUCUUUCUUGCCGAAAUCAUAGUAUCAGAGCAGGUCGGUGCUCUCUAAAAUUUUUUUUUGGUUGAUGACGUCCUCUGUGCUCACUUGACUGAGAAUGAAGAAACCAAGUCAGUUCUGGACCUGAGAACUCAUUGGCUGGAUCUCCCUCUUCUGUUCUGGGCGGAAACUCAACUGAAGUGAUUGCAGAAGAUUCUUGAUGACUGGUUGAGUCCUUCGAAGAGGUUGGCGGCUCCUUUUUUCUAUUCUCUUUUAUUAUUAUCGGAUUAUUGGACUGGAAAAUCCAGAAACCACUUGAACUGAACUCGGACAGUUUUUAAACCUUUUUUCUUUGGUUCUUGGUGCUGGUACCAAGAACAGGUUGAGGGUUGCCUUGACCGAAUGGUAUAAGGGAAGUUUAACCCCUUCUUUAUGGGUCGGAUGAUCCAGAAACCUGUGAACUUGUGGAAUUAGUUGUAGGUCAUGAGUGACCUGGUUUGGUUGACUGUUACAGCAACAGUGGACUGAUGCUUGUGGCUUAUAUUAGCCUUUGGAGAAGUCUGGUACACCUGUGAACUUGUUCAGAUGGCUGGUACAGCAGCAGAGUACUGAUGCUUGUGGCUUAUAUUAGUCUUGGAGAGGCCUGUUAGAUCAGUGAAAGUGUGUUGCAGCAAGGGCUGUAAUUGUGUUCUAACUGUCAGAACACUUAAAGUAAGGGCUGUGUAGUCAAUUUGUGUGUAUUGACUGAGGUGAAGGAACUGUUGUUGUCUUAGUAAGCGUCAGUCAUGAAUUCUGAAGAUUCAGCAACCUCUGGAACUUCUUUCAACCAAGGAGGAAUGAACGACAGUAUUGAUUCCAUGAGCUUUCCAACGACCAUUACUCCCUUGGAUGGCAGAAAUUAUUUGACAUGGUCUAAGGAGAUGCGGCUGGACAUCACAGCCCAGGGUAAAGCAGAGUAUAUCAAUGGAAAAGUGAAGGAAUCUAGGACUGGUACGGCUGAAUAUGAUAAGUGGGACCAGGAAAACUGCAUGAUUAUGUCAUGGCUCCUGACUAUUAUGCUACCAUCAGUGAAGCAGAACUUUUUGUGGGCUGAAACAGCCAAGGAAAUAUGGGAACAAGCAAGGUCAACUUACUCCGAACAGAGGCACUAUUGCUAGAAUCUAUCAAUUGCAAGCCGAGUCCGCAACGUGUAAACAAGGGGAAAGAAGCUUAUCCACCUACUAUUCUGCCCUCACAUAUAUUUGGAACGAGUUAGAUUACUAUAAGAAUAUUGUCUGGGAGAGUGAAAAGGAUGCCAAAGCCUAUAAACAGUUAAUGUCACAGCAGCGGGUGUUUGCUUUUCUGUUAGGACUUAAUCCCAUAUAUGAACCCAUUCGAGUUCAAAUUUUGGGCAGCAAGGAUCUUCCCUCUGUCCAAGAGGUGUAUGCACUGGUUCAAUAUGAGGAAAGUAGGAAAUCUGCCAUGAAUCCUCCAGAGGGGGAGACCAUUGCCUUAGCCACAAGAGGUAAUAUCAAUUCAGCAAGAAAGGGAGAUGGUUAGAAAAGGGUUGAUGAUAAGGAUAAACUGUGGUGCUCUCAUUGUUAGAAGUCCCGACACACAUGGGAGAUAUGUUGGGAAUUGCAUGGCAAGCCGAACUGGGCACAAGACCUAAAUAAGAAAUCAACACAAGAACAGAACAAGAAACCAAAUCAGGAAAGGUUCACCUCGGCUAUCUUGGCCUCUCAUGAGUUGCAGAGUGGAGGAACUACUAUGAACUCUCAGGAUUGCCCCCUAGGUCUGAUCUUAAGGAAAAUAUUAUCAUUGCCUUUUGUGACCAUUUGGAGCAAUAUGGUAGGGCCCUCACACAAACUGAUUCUAAACCCACUCCUUCAACCUCUUUUGCCUCUUCCUCAGGUAGCUUAGCUUCUAAAUUCCAUGUGCCUGCCGAUACCUAUGAAUCCCCAUGGAUUAUUGAUUCUGGUGCUUCCAAUCACAUCACAGGAUUUGGCCUCUGGGAGGACGAUUGGUAAAGAGAAUAUGGUGAAUGGCCUCUAUGUGCUGGAGAAUAGAGCUAGUCUUGCUGCCUCAGAGUCUUUGAGUCAGUCAAAUAAGAGUCAUGUUACUUUGUGGCACAAUCGUUUGGGUCAUAUGUCUUUUGAGUCUUUGAAGUAUUUGUUUCCAGAAUUGUUUAAGUCUAUGUCUAUUAAUGAUUUUUAGUGUCAAGUGUGUUAGCUAAGCAAGCAUUGUAGAACUUCAUUUUCUUUACGUAAUAAAAAAUCAGAUGUUUCCUUUUCCAUUGUCUAUUCUAAUGUUUGGGAACUUGUAAAUAUUUCAACGGAGAAUGGCUACAGAUACUUCAUAUCUUUCAUUGAUGACUUCUCUUGAUAUACGUGGGUGUACCCUAUGCACUCUCGAGACGAAGUUUCUAAACUUGUGAAAGCCUUCCAACGUAUGGUAUACACACAAUUUCAAAUGGAGAUUCGAACCUUCCAAUCAGACAAUGCCAGAGAGUACGUUCAUGGUGACCUCACAGAAUUUUUUGAAACUUGUGGCUCUACUCAUCGUAGUUCUUGUGCUCGAACCCCUCAACAGAAUGGGGUUGCAGAGAGAAAGAAUCGUUAUCUCUUAAAGGUUGCUCGAGGGUUGUUGAUAUACAUGAAUGUUCCAAAAAGGUUUUGGGUGGAUGCUGUUAUGACUCUGGCUUAUCUUAUCAAUUGGAUGCCAUCUCGUCUCCUGGAGUACAAGUCCCCUCAUCAGCUCAUCUUCCCUACAACUCCAUUGUUUCCUAUCCCUUUGCGUGUCUUUGGGUGUAAGUGUUUUGUCCAUGAUCUAUCACCUACCCGUGGUAAGCUAGAUCCCAAAGCCAUUGUUUGUGUUUUCCUUGGUUAUCCCCUUUCCCAAAAAGGUUAUUGUUGCUUUGACCCUAUUUCCAAAAAGUACUUUGUAUCUAUGGAUGUUUCUUUCUUUGAAGAUGUGCCUUUCUUUCUUGCUUCUCAGGGGGAGAGUCCAAGUGAGGGAAAAUAGAGACAGGUUUUGUUGCUUUGUCCUCCUGACCCUCCUCCAUUUUUGGUCUUUCAUAGACAGUGGUACAAAAGUCAAGGCCACGAUCAGCGAAGUUCAAUAGACAUAGAGUAUCCUGAAGCUAUGCAACCUGUGCCAUCGAACUCUCAGGGGUUGAAUCAAUCACUGCAUCCAGGUACUAUUGUUCCAGUUAACGUCUCUGAGCCCAUUGAUAUUGAUACUUCUAAUUGUGAUCUGGAUCUUCCUAUUGCAAAGAGGAAAGGUGUUAAAUCAUGCACCACACAUCACCCGAUGGCCCUUUCCUUAUCCUAUGAGCAUGUUUCACCCUCUUUCCGUGCUUUCCUCUCUGCUAUUGAUAGUGUUUCCCUUCCUAAGAGUGUUGCAGAAGCUUUACUUGUUCCUGAAUGGACAGAUGCAAUGAAGGAGAUCAAUGCCCUUCACAAAAAUGGCACAUGGGAGCUGGUAGAUCUCCCUGAAGGAAAGGAACCUAUGGGGUGCAAAUGGGUAUUUUCUGUGAAACAUAAGGCAGAUGGCACAUUGUAGAGGUAUAAGGCCCGACUAGUUGCAAAAGGUUUUUCACAGGUGUAUGGAGUUGAUUAUGCGGAAACCUUUGCACCUGUAGAAAAAAUGAAUUCUAUUCAAGUCCUUUCUUUAGCAGCAAAUCUAGAUUGGGAACUUCAUCGACUGGACAUUAAAAAUGCUUUUUUGAAUGGUGACUUAGAAGAAGUGAAUAUGAUCCAACCUCCAGGUUUUCGUGCUAAAGGAGAUGAGUAGAAAGUAUGUAGAUUGAAGAAAUCUUUGUAUGGCUUAAAACAGUCUCCAAGGGCCUGGUUUAGUAGGUUCCACAAGGCAGUUCAACAGAUGUUUUUUUUUUGAUGAAAGAAGCAAAUUUAGAGUGAGUUUAUACAUCAUCCCAGCGAGAAGCGCGAGCUGCAGCCCCUCCUUGAAUCUUACAAGUAAACUAGGAAAGAAAA